This 574-nucleotide ribosomal RNA is filed under the name uncultured Basidiomycota. RNAcentral describes it as "eukaryotic LSU rRNA". The stretch from base 186 to 339 matches the Rfam family "5.8S ribosomal RNA". The record is from RNAcentral. Lineage: Eukaryota; Fungi; Basidiomycota.
CAUUAACGUAUCUCCGAGUCCGGUGGCCGGCGUCGCUGCGCCCCCGGCUCGAACCCCACAAACCCACCGUGCUCCUUUACGGCCCAGGGCGUCUUUGGCGAAAGCCGAGCGCCCGAAGCCGCAUCCAAAUAGACUCCAGUUUAAAAGAAUGCAAAGCAGACUCUGAUCUGCCCACAAUUUGAAACAACUUUCAACAACGGAUCUCUUGGCUCUCGCAUCGAUGAAGAACGCAGCGAAAUGCGAUAAGUAAUGUGAAUUGCAGAAUUCAGUGAAUCAUCGAAUCUUUGAACGCACCUUGCGCUCCUUGGUAUUCCGAGGAGCAUGCCUGUUUGAGUGUCUUGAAGUCAUCAACCGCUCCCGUUUUGACGCGGGGGACCGGGUUGGAUCUGGGGGUGUGCCGCUGCAAAGCGGCUCCCUUCAAAUGCAUCGGUUGGACCUGUGGGUCGAACUCGACUGGGCGUUGUAACAUCCUCGCUCUACCGAGAGGUUCCCCUUUGGUGUCCUCCCACGACUCGCCUGAGGAGUGGCGGUCAACUUGCUUUGAAAUCUGACCUCAAAUCAGGUAGGACUACCC